RNAcentral lists this ribosomal RNA (498 nucleotides) under uncultured bacterium. Its description in RNAcentral is "partial 16S ribosomal RNA". It matches the Rfam family "Bacterial small subunit ribosomal RNA", at positions 29 to 523 of the family's 1533-position model. The record is from RNAcentral.
AUUGAACGCUGGCGGCAUGCUUUACACAUGCAAGUCGAACGGUAACAGGCCGCAAGGUGCUGACGAGUGGCGAACGGGUGAGUAAUGCAUCGGAACGUGCCCAGUCGUGGGGGAUAACGCAGCGAAAGCUGCGCUAAUACCGCAUACGAUCUAUGGAUGAAAGCGGGGGACCGUAAGGCCUCGCGCGAUUGGAGCGGCCGACGUCAGAUUAGGUAGUUGGUGGGGUAAAGGCUCACCAAGCCGACGAUCUGUAGCUGGUCUGAGAGGACGACCAGCCACACUGGGGCUGAGACACGGCCCAGACUCCUACGGGAGGCAGCAGUGGGGAAUUUUGGACAAUGGGGGCAACCCUGAUCCAGCAAUGCCGCGUGCAGGAAGAAGGCCUUCGGGUUGUAAACUGCUUUUGUACGGAACGAAACGGCUCUGGUUAAUACCCGGGGCUAAUGACGGUACCGUAAGAAUAAGCACCGGCUAACUACGUGCCAGCCGCCGCCGUAA